RNAcentral lists this ribosomal RNA (279 nucleotides) under uncultured bacterium. RNAcentral's name for it is "partial 16S ribosomal RNA". It matches the Rfam family "Bacterial small subunit ribosomal RNA", at positions 506 to 784 of the family's 1533-position model. The record is from RNAcentral.
UGCCAGCCGCCGCGGUAAUACGGAGGGGGCUAGCGUUGUUCGGAAUCACUGGGCGUAAAGCGCGCGUAGGCGGACCAAUCAGUUGGGGGUGAAAGCCCGGAGCUCAACUCCGGAACUGCCUCCAAUACUGUUGGUCUUGAGGUCGAGAGAGGUAAGUGGAAUUCCUAGUGUAGAGGUGAAAUUCGUAGAUAUUAGGAAGAACACCAGUGGCGAAGGCGACUUACUGGCUCGAUUCUGACGCUGAGGUGCGAAAGCGUGGGGAGCAAACAGGAUUAGAUA